GAGGGUAUAGCUCAGUGGUAGAGCACAUGCUUAGCAUGCAUGAGGUCCUGGGUUCAAUCCCCAGUACCACCA
Molecule: transfer RNA, 72 nt
Filed under: Camelus bactrianus (Bactrian camel)
Lineage: Eukaryota; Metazoa; Chordata; Mammalia; Artiodactyla; Camelidae
Also listed under: 2 other names
Rfam family: tRNA
About the family: Transfer RNA (tRNA) molecules are approximately 80 nucleotides in length.
Source: Rfam by way of RNAcentral